UACGUAGGGGGCGAGCGUUGUCCGGAUUUAUUGGGCGUAAAGAGCUCGUAGGCGGCUUGGCAAGUCGGGUGUGAAACCUCCAGGCUCAACCUGGAGACGCCACUCGAUACUGCUAUGGCUAGAGUCCGGUAGGGGACCACGGAAUUCCUGGUGUAGCGGUGAAAUGCGCAGAUAUCAGGAGGAACACCGGUGGCGAAGGCGGUGGUCUGGGCCGGCACUGACGCUGAGGAGCGAAAGCGUGGGUCGCGAAUGGG
RNAcentral lists this ribosomal RNA (254 nucleotides) under uncultured bacterium. Its description in RNAcentral is "partial 16S ribosomal RNA". It matches the Rfam family "Bacterial small subunit ribosomal RNA", at positions 524 to 776 of the family's 1533-position model. The record is from RNAcentral.